CAGCCGCCGCGGUAAUACGUAGGUGGCAAGCGUUGUCCGGAAUUAUUGGGCGUAAAGGGCUCGCAGGCGGUUUCUUAAGUCUGAUGUGAAAGCCCCCGGCUCAACCGGGGGGGGUCAUUGGAAACUGGGAAACUUGAGUGCAGAAGAGGAGAGUGGAAUUCCACGUGUAGCGGUGAAAUGCGUAGAGAUGUGGAGGAACACCAGUGGCGAAGGCGACUCUCUGGUCUGUAACUGACGCUGAGGAGCGAAAGCGUGGGGAGCGAACAGGAUUAGAUACCCCGGUAGUCCCUGUCUCUUAUAA
Molecule: ribosomal RNA, 301 nt
Filed under: uncultured bacterium
Lineage: Bacteria
Description: partial 16S ribosomal RNA
Rfam family: Bacterial small subunit ribosomal RNA
Source: RNAcentral